Ananas comosus (pineapple) is the source of this 757-nucleotide long non-coding RNA. RefSeq lists it as uncharacterized. The transcript has 2 exons. The record is from RefSeq and is a predicted model, not a curated record. NCBI's taxonomy places the organism in Eukaryota, Viridiplantae, Streptophyta, Magnoliopsida, Poales, Bromeliaceae.
UUAGGCCUGCAUUACAAGAUUCGCAACGGCCUUUCUUACCCUUCAACGGCUACAUAAGCAAAAGAGCAACUGAGAAAAAUGUUCACAUUGGAUGACUGGACCAAGAGUAAAUGGGCAAAGGAACAAGCGGGCAAAGGGGCGGCUAGCAUUGUAAUGAUGCCUACAUUUUGGACUAGCAUUAUUUUUAUUCUUAAGAUUUUUGGUCCUCUCGUUCAUGUACUUCGGCUAGUUGAUGGUGAGAAAAGGCCGACAAUGGGUUAUAUUUAUGAGGCAAUGGAUAGAGCAAAGGAAGCAAUUGCAAAGUCUUUUAAAGAGAGGGGGGAGAAAUACAGUGAAAUAUUCAAUAUUAUUGAUAAUAAAUGGGAAUGCCAACUUCAUCGCCCUUUACAUGCUGUUGGCCAUUUCUUGAAUCCUGAAUUCUUUUAUUCAAAUUUAGAAAUCCUUAGAGAUGAAGAGAUUAUGGCGGGUUUAUAUAAAGCUUUGUAAAAAUUGAUUUCAAGGGCUCAAGAACAAGAUAAAAUAUGCGAUCAACUAAGUGUGUAUCGUAAAGCACAUGGACUUUUUGGAACUAAUAUGGCAAUUCGACCAAAGAAUACAAAGUCAUCAGGGGAGUGGUGGAAAUUGUUUGGAUCAUCAACAUCGGACUUGCAAAAAUUUGCAAUUAGGGUUCUUAGCCUCAUUUGUAGUGCUUCCGGUUGUGAGUGAAAUUGGAGUGUUUUUGAACAUGGAAGUUGCAAGAUCAAAUCAUCUUAUUUAA